UACAGAUCACCCACACGAAGAUCGGUUGUAGAUCAAGCUCCUUGGGAGUGCUAGCUCGUAAGGAUCUUUGAAGAAUGAUGUUUCUCUUCUUCUUUAGGCCUCUUGGAUGCUCCAAAGGAGAACAAGAAUUAAAAGAGAAAGAGAGGAGUGAGAGAGGCUAUGGAGGAGAAAAAACUUUCAACGAGAAAUCAUAUAGGGCAUCCAACUAUUGG
This 212-nucleotide long non-coding RNA is filed under the name Elaeis guineensis (African oil palm). Its description in RNAcentral is "long non-coding RNA (EGUI_LNC066939)". Lineage: Eukaryota; Viridiplantae; Streptophyta; Magnoliopsida; Arecales; Arecaceae. The record is from RNAcentral.